RNAcentral lists this ribosomal RNA (382 nucleotides) under uncultured bacterium. RNAcentral describes it as "bacterial SSU rRNA". It matches the Rfam family "Bacterial small subunit ribosomal RNA", at positions 28 to 408 of the family's 1533-position model. The record is from RNAcentral.
GACGAACGCUGGUGGCGUGCCUAACACAUGCAAGUCAACUUGAGGGAAGGAGCAAUCUGACCUGAUGGUGGCGCAAGGGUGCGUAACGCGUAAGUAACUUGCCCAAGGUAAGGGAUAACGUCGAGAAAUCGGCGCUAAUACCUCAUAAUGCAGCGGAUCCGCAUGGAUAUGUUGUUAAAGGUUUACCGCCUUGGGAUAGGCUUGCGUCUGAUUAGCUAGUUGGUGUGGUAAUGGCACACCAAGGCUGCGAUCAGUAACUGGUCUGAGAGGAUGAUCAGUCACACUGGAACUGAGACACGGUCCAGACUCCUACGGGAGGCAGCAGUGAGGAAUAUUGGGCAAUGCACGAAAGUAGUGACCCACGCAAUAGCCGCGUGGAGGA